Molecule: microRNA precursor, 154 nt
Organism: Leersia perrieri
Lineage: Eukaryota; Viridiplantae; Streptophyta; Magnoliopsida; Poales; Poaceae
Source: Rfam
AGGAUAAGAGGCAGCCGGGCUAGCCAAGGAGACUGCCUGUACAUAUAUGCGAGACUGGAUGAUGCUAAACCCAUAUGAUUCAUGCAUCGAUAUAUCACGCACAUAUAGAUACACAGGCAAGUCAUCCUUGGCUACCAGGGACUCACUCUCAUCA